This 300-nucleotide ribosomal RNA is filed under the name uncultured Alteromonadales bacterium. RNAcentral's name for it is "bacterial SSU rRNA". It matches the Rfam family "Bacterial small subunit ribosomal RNA", at positions 115 to 419 of the family's 1533-position model. The record is from RNAcentral. Lineage: Bacteria; Pseudomonadati; Pseudomonadota; Gammaproteobacteria; Alteromonadales.
GCUUGGGAAACUGCCCAGUCGUGGGGGACAACCAUUGGAAACGAUGGCUAAUACCGCAUACGCCUACGGGGGAAGAAGGGACCUUCGGGCCGUUUCGUCGAUUGGAGUGUGCCCAAGUGGGAUUAGCUAGUUGGUGAGGUAAAGGCUCACCAAGGCGACGAUCCCUAGCUGGUUUGAGAGGAUGAUCAGCCACACUGGAACUGAGACACGGUCCAGACUCCUACGGGAGGCAGCAGUGGGGAAUAUUGGACAAUGGCGCAAGCCUGAUCCAGCCAUGCCGCGUGAGUGAUGAAGGCCCUA